AUUUUUGUUUUACACUUUGUUGUACCAUUUUGAAAACAAUUCAUAUUACAUCUUAUUAAAUCCUUAUGUUUUCUCAUUUUUAAAAAUAGGUUAAUCUCACAAAUUAUAGAAAAAUAUUUUUCUUAGAUUGGAUCAUUAGAGAGUGAUUUUCCCCCUCUUUAGCUGCAAAAAGAAUAGUAUAAAUAACUACCUUAUCCUAAAUAACCUACUUUUUCAUUUAUUUUACUUAGCAAAAACUAUUUUCUUUUUCAAAUGUAAAAGAAUUAUGCCUUUUGUUUUCUUAAAAAAAUAGAAAUAAAUUUGAAAACAUAAGUGCCUUGGAUAAAAUAGGGAUUUAAAUUUCUCCUCUAAUAUUCUAAGUACUCUGAAAAUUAGGAGAUCAUCAUUCCCUUUCCUUGUACCUUCUCAACAAAUAAAAAGAGAAGAAGAUGUGAAGCUCUCCUCAUUUUCAUAAUGGCUACAAAAUGCUCCCCAAUAUUCCGAUUGACCAUGAUGCUCUUCUC
This 503-nucleotide long non-coding RNA is filed under the name Phoenix dactylifera (date palm). RNAcentral's name for it is "long non-coding RNA (PDAC_LNC012042)". Lineage: Eukaryota; Viridiplantae; Streptophyta; Magnoliopsida; Arecales; Arecaceae. The record is from RNAcentral.